This 495-nucleotide ribosomal RNA is filed under the name uncultured bacterium. RNAcentral's name for it is "partial 16S ribosomal RNA". It matches the Rfam family "Bacterial small subunit ribosomal RNA", at positions 28 to 507 of the family's 1533-position model. The record is from RNAcentral.
GACGAACGCUGGCGGCGUGCCUAAUACAUGCAAGUAGAACGCUGAAGGAGGAGCUUGCUUCUCUGGAUGAGUUGCGAACGGGUGAGUAACGCGUAGGUAACCUGCCUGGUAGCGGGGGAUAACUAUUGGAAACGAUAGCUAAUACCGCAUAAGAGUAGAUGUUGCAUGACAUUUGCUUAAAAGGUGCAAUUGCAUCACUACCAGAUGGACCUGCGUUGUAUUAGCUAGUUGGUGGGGUAACGGCUCACCAAGGCGACGAUACAUAGCCGACCUGAGAGGGUGAUCAGCCACACUGAGACGGAGACACGGCCCAGACUCCUACGGGAGGCAGCCGUAGGGAAUCUUCGGCAAUAGACGGAAGUCUGACCGAGCAACGCCGCGUGAGUGAAGAAGGUUUUCGGGUCGGAGAGCUCUGUUGUAAGGGAAGAACGAGUGUGAGAGUGGAAAGUUCACACUGUGACGGUAUCUGACCAGAAAGGAACGGCUAACUACGUG